CCUAGUAACGGCGAGUGAAGCGGCAACAGCUCAAAUUUGAAAUCUGGCUUCGGCCCGAGUUGUAAUUUGCAGAGGAUGUUUAUGGUGCGGUACCUUCCGAGUUCCCUGGAACGGGACGCCACAGAGGGUGAGAGCCCCGUCUGGUUGGAUACCAAACCUGUGUUAAACUCCUUCAACGAGUCGAGUAGUUUGGGAAUGCUGCUCUAAAUGGGAGGUAAAUCUCUUCUAAAGCUAAAUACCGGCCAGAGACCGAUAGCGCACAAGUAGAGUGAUCGAAAGAUGAAAAGCACCUUGAAAAGGGGGUUAAACAGUACGUGAAAUUGUUAAAAGGGAAGCGUUUAUGACCAGACUUGUGUCGUGUGGCUCAUCCGAGGUUCUCCCCGGUGCACUCCACACGGCUCAGGCCAACAUCGGUUCUCGUUGGGGGAUAAGAACAGUAGGAACGUGGCCCUCUUCGGAGGGUGUUAUAGCCUGCUGUACGAUACCCUGAUGGGGACCGAGGACCGCGCUUCGGCUAGGAUGUUGGCGUAAUGGUCAUUAGCGACCCGUCUUGAAACACGGACCAAGGAGUCGUCCAUUAGAGCGAGCGUUUGGGUGUAAAACCCGCACGCGUAAUGAAAGUGAAAUUAGGUGAGAGCUUCGGCGCAUCAUCGACCGAUCCUGAAGUUUACGGAUGGAUUUGAGUAAGAGUUUUAACGGACGGACCCGAAAGACAGUGAACUAUGCUUGAAUAGGGUGAAGCCAGAGGAAACUCUGGUGGAGGCUCGCAGCGGUUCUGACGUGCAAAUCGAUCGUCAAAUUUGAGCAUGGGGGCGAAAGACUAAUCGAACUGUCUAGUAGCUGGUUACCGCCGAAGUUUCCCUCAUGAUAGCAGUGUUGACCUUCAGUUUUAUGAGGUAAAGCGAAUGAUUAGGGACUCGGGGGCGCUUAUUAGCCUUCAUCCAUUCUCAAACUUUAAAUAUGUAAGAAGC
This 971-nucleotide ribosomal RNA is filed under the name Gnomoniopsis smithogilvyi. RNAcentral describes it as "eukaryotic LSU rRNA". It matches the Rfam family "Eukaryotic large subunit ribosomal RNA", at positions 79 to 1081 of the family's 3401-position model. Lineage: Eukaryota; Fungi; Ascomycota; Sordariomycetes; Diaporthales; Gnomoniaceae. The record is from RNAcentral.